UACGAAGGGGGCUAGCGUUGCUCGGAAUGACUGGGCGUAAAGGGCGCGUAGGCGGAUUGUACAGUCAGGCGUGAAAUUCCCGGGCUCAACCUGGGGGCUGCGCUUGAGACGUGCGAUCUUGAGUGGGGAAGAGGGUCGUGGAAUUCCCAGUGUAGAGGUGAAAUUCGUAGAUAUUGGGAAGAACACCGGUGGCGAAGGCGGCGACUUGGUCCUUGACUGACGCUGAGGCGCGAAAGCGUGGGGAGCAAACAGG
This 253-nucleotide ribosomal RNA is filed under the name uncultured bacterium. RNAcentral's name for it is "partial 16S ribosomal RNA". It matches the Rfam family "Bacterial small subunit ribosomal RNA", at positions 524 to 776 of the family's 1533-position model. The record is from RNAcentral.